CGUGGCUAAGAGCGGUUCUGAUGGAGGCGCUGGUUUUGCGUGUUCCAAACCACGAAUCGAUCUUAAGCUUCU
This is a non-coding RNA of Arabidopsis thaliana (thale cress), 72 nucleotides long. The record is from RefSeq. NCBI's taxonomy places the organism in Eukaryota, Viridiplantae, Streptophyta, Magnoliopsida, Brassicales, Brassicaceae.